This 703-nucleotide long non-coding RNA is filed under the name Canis lupus familiaris (dog). Its description in RNAcentral is "lncRNA (ENSCAFG00845005399.1)". The record is from RNAcentral. Lineage: Eukaryota; Metazoa; Chordata; Mammalia; Carnivora; Canidae.
CUUCGCAGUAAAAGCUAAUGAAAGGAAACACAGGGUUCCCAGGGCAGGUGCUUGGCACUUCUCCAGGAAUAGGUAAAAGGGAAGCGGCAGAUGUUCAAGGGAAGGGAGCAAACAGCAGGGACAGAGCGUCCCUCCCUCCCUGGUGGGGAUGAGCAGAGCACACCUGCUGCUGUGCGGGCUCCCGCUGCCAAGCAGAGCGGCACAGCUGUGAGACCCUGCUUCUGGCUGCUUCGCCUGUCUUCAGGGAUGGAGCCCCUCCCAAGCAAGGAGAGUUCAACUGGGUUCUUUGGCAGCCGAAGUCUACACGGACCCUGCAGGGAGCGGUGGAGAAAAGCAUAUUGAUCUUGAUGAGAAAGCUCACUCAGAGAAGUAGUCAAGAAAGCAAUAUAUUGAAAAUAAAGCCAUGUAUGUAGCAACGAAGGUAUUCAAGGUGCCCACUUUGAUGACUUGUACUCGUGCCUUUGAUCCCCACUGUAGAAAAUGCUCUGCUCCAUUUCAAAAGAGAUUGCCUUGUGCCCCAUUUGUUGGCCUUUGGAUCAAACCAGCAACAGACCUCACAGAUAGAAUUCCACCAUUAGCCAUUCACAAAGAGGUAAAUUCUAAGUCCUUUGCCUCACUUCCAAAUAUUUCUCUCCAGAGAAAAGCUUUUUUUUUUUUUUUAAAUCUAUUUGUUAAUAUUGCCAUCUGUUUUGGUUACUACUAA